UACGGGGGGGGCAAGCGUUGUUCGGAAUUACUGGGCGUAAAGCGCGUGUAGGCGGCAAUACAAGUCGGAUGUGAAAUCCCGCGGCUUAACCGUGGAAGUGCACCCGAAACUGUAUCGCUAGAGUCCCGGAGAGGAUGGUGGAAUACUUGGUGUAGAGGUGAAAUUCGUAGAUAUCAAGUGGAACACCGGUGGCGAAGGCGGCCAUCUGGACGGUGACUGACGCUGAGACGCGAAAGCGUGGGGAGCGAACAGG
This 253-nucleotide ribosomal RNA is filed under the name uncultured bacterium. RNAcentral's name for it is "partial 16S ribosomal RNA". It matches the Rfam family "Bacterial small subunit ribosomal RNA", at positions 524 to 776 of the family's 1533-position model. The record is from RNAcentral.